This 229-nucleotide long non-coding RNA is filed under the name Mytilus galloprovincialis (Mediterranean mussel). Lineage: Eukaryota; Metazoa; Mollusca; Bivalvia; Mytilida; Mytilidae. The record is from RNAcentral.
CAUUAUGUAUUCGUGUUUGUUUUCUGUAAUGAGUUAUUACUUCAGUUUCAUUAUGUAUAUCUGUUAUAUUCAUUUGAUAAAAUUUACUGUUUGCAAUAGCAUUACUUGUUUUAAAUAAUAAGGAUGUUCUUAUCCCAAGCAUAAAAACAUAGCCGUAUCUGACACAACCUUUUUAAACUUUUGAUCUUCAGUGCUGUACAACUUUGUACUUUUUUUCACUUUCGAUCUU